CAGCCGCCGCGGUAAUACCAGCGCCUCGAGUGAUAUCCACGAAUACUGGGCCUAAAGCGUCCGUAGCCGGAUAAGUAAGUCCACUGUGAAAUGUUGGAGCUCAACUCCAUCGCUUGCAGUAGAUACUGCUAGUCUCGGGAACGGGGGAGGGUCGGAGUACGUCCAGGGUAGGGGUAAAAUCUGUUGAGCCUGGACGGACUACCAGUGGCGAAGGCGCCGAUCCAAAACGUGUUCGACGGUGAGGGACGAAAGCUAGGGGAGCGAACGGGAUUAGAUACCCCGGUAGUCCUAGCUGUAAAUAAUGCUGACUGUGGUGUUGCGCAUGAGUAAUCAUGUGCAGUGCUGUAGCGUAGGUCUUAAGUCAGCCGCCUGGGGAGUACGAUCGCAAGAUUUAAACUUAAAGGAAUUGGCGGGGGAGCACCACAAGCCGUGGAUGCUACGGUUUAAUUGGAUACAACGCCGGAAAUAUCACCAGUGGAGACGGCAGAAUGACAGCCAGGCUGAAGGUCUUGCUUGACAAGCCGAGAGGUAUUGCAUGGCCAUCGUCAGCUCGUGGUGUGAACUGUCCUGUUAAGUCAGGCAACGAGCGAGACCCAUGCGUUUAGUUACUAACUUUCCCUCCGGGGAAGGUGUACCUUAAACGGACUGCCCGCGCUAAGUGGGAGGAAGGAGUGGGCAACGGUAGGUCAGUAUGGUCCGAAACUACUUGGGCUACACGCGGCAUACAGUGGGUGGAACAAUGGGCUGCAACUUCGAAAGGAGGAGCCAAUCCCCGAAAUCCAUCCGUGGUUCGAAUUGAGGGUUGAAACCCACCCUCAUGAAGAUGGAAUGGCUAGUAAUCGCGUGUCACUAUCGCGCGGUGAAUGUGUCCCUGCCCCUUGCACAC
RNAcentral lists this ribosomal RNA (886 nucleotides) under uncultured archaeon. RNAcentral's name for it is "bacterial SSU rRNA". It matches the Rfam family "Archaeal small subunit ribosomal RNA", at positions 459 to 1344 of the family's 1478-position model. The record is from RNAcentral.